CUUUUUGUCCCCUCCUUGCUGGUCUUCUAAGCAGAUUGAAGCAGCUUCAUCUCAUUCCUGGUUCAUCCUGAUUCCCUCAGUGGCUUGCUCCUGCAUUAGUAAUGUAAAACUGGCCCAAAAGGGUUUAAAAUUGUCAGAAGUUGAUCUUGAUCAGUUCAAAUAUUUUUUGACAAAGAAAAUCAGUUCUGGUCAGUUCAAAUCUAUUUUGACCAGUUUAAACCAAUUCUGCAGAACUCGAGCCUGUGGUCGGUAAACCCAGGAAGAUGGCUGAAGACUAUGCUGAUUCAAGCCAAAGCAAGGAAUCAGAGUCUUUGUCUCUGCUCUGAGCCGCCUGAUGCCACAACUAUGACUGCACUGGGUGAGACCUGAAGCAAACACAGCAUUAGGUCUAAUUCAAGGCCUUCUGUAACCACUCCUUGGCUGCUGCCUAUGUUUACUCAAGGCCCUGGAGCUUACAAUCAGCAAGUGGGAAUGCAAGUCACACCUGUUUUAUUCUCUUCAAGGUGGUGAGGUCUCUCAACCUUCAGAUGGGUUCAGAGGUGCUGUCCAGGAUUCAGGGUCUUGCAAAGAGAUACGUA
This is a long non-coding RNA of Homo sapiens (human), 578 nucleotides long. Ensembl annotates it as MIR325 host gene. Its record names the gene MIR325HG. The record is from Ensembl. NCBI's taxonomy places the organism in Eukaryota, Metazoa, Chordata, Mammalia, Primates, Hominidae.